This 107-nucleotide ribosomal RNA is filed under the name Caerostris extrusa. The record is from RNAcentral. Lineage: Eukaryota; Metazoa; Arthropoda; Arachnida; Araneae; Araneidae.
UGAUAACAACGUAUACCUACCGGUUCUCGUUAGAUCACCGAAGUCAAGCACCAUUGGGCGCGGUCAGUACUUGGGUGGGUGACCACCUGGGAACUCCGCGUGCCGUU